RNAcentral lists this ribosomal RNA (447 nucleotides) under uncultured bacterium. RNAcentral describes it as "bacterial SSU rRNA". It matches the Rfam family "Bacterial small subunit ribosomal RNA", at positions 29 to 524 of the family's 1533-position model. The record is from RNAcentral.
AACGAACGCUGGCGGCAGGCCUAACACAUGCAAGUCGAACGCACCGCAAGGUGAGUGGCGCACGGGUGAGUAACACGUGGGAAUGUACCCUUUGGUUCGGAAUAACGUUUGGAAACGAACGCUAAUACCGGAUGAGCCCUGCGGGGGAAAGAUUUAUCGCCAAAGGAGCAGCCCGCGUCUGAUUAGCUAGUUGGUGGGGUAAAGGCCUACCAAGGCGACGAUCAGUAGCUGGUCUGAGAGGAUGAUCAGCCACACUGGGACUGAGACACGGCCCAGACUCCUACGGGAGGCAGCAGUGGGGAAUAUUGGACAAUGGGCGCAAGCCUGAUCCAGCCAUGCCGCGUGAGUGAUGAAGGCCUUCGGGUUGUAAAGCUCUUUCGCACGCGACGAUGAUGACGGUAGCGUGAGAAGAAGCCCGGCUAACUUCGUGCCAGCAGCCGCGGUAAU